UAUUGAGAUCCUUCCGUCUGCACUUCAGCGCAGG
This 34-nucleotide small RNA is filed under the name Bombyx mori (domestic silkworm). RNAcentral's name for it is "ovarian small RNA-24205". The record is from RNAcentral. Lineage: Eukaryota; Metazoa; Arthropoda; Insecta; Lepidoptera; Bombycidae.